UACUCGAGUGGCGAACGGGUGAGUAACACGUGGGUAAUCUGCCCUGCACUCUGGGAUAAGCCUGGGAAACUGGGUCUAAUACUGGAUAUGACCUUUCUCCUUAUGGGGUUUGGUGGAAAGUUUUUCGGUGUAGGAUGAGCCCGCGGCCUAUCAGCUUGUUGGUGGGGUGAUGGCCUACCAAGGCGACGACGGGUAGCCGGCCUGAGAGGGUGAUCGGCCACAUUGGGACUGAGAUACGGCCCAGACUCCUACGGGAGGCAGCAGUGGGGAAUAUUGCACAAUGGGCGGAAGCCUGAUGCAGCGACGCCGCGUGAGGGAAGACGGCCUUCGGGUUGUAAACCUCUUUCAGC
Molecule: ribosomal RNA, 350 nt
Filed under: uncultured Actinomycetales bacterium
Lineage: Bacteria; Bacillati; Actinomycetota; Actinomycetes; Actinomycetales
Description: bacterial SSU rRNA
Rfam family: Bacterial small subunit ribosomal RNA
Source: RNAcentral